This 345-nucleotide unclassified non-coding RNA is filed under the name soil metagenome. Its description in RNAcentral is "partial contains 5.8S ribosomal RNA, internal transcribed spacer 2, and large subunit ribosomal RNA". The stretch from base 1 to 120 matches the Rfam family "5.8S ribosomal RNA", at positions 35 to 154 of the family's 154-position model. The record is from RNAcentral.
GAUGAAGAACGCAGCGAAAUGCGAUAAGUAAUGUGAAUUGCAGAAUUCAGUGAAUCAUCGAAUCUUUGAACGCACAUUGCGCCCUCUGGUAUUCCGGGGGGCAUGCCUGUUCGAGCGUCAUUGCUGCCCUCAAGCACGGCUUGUGUGUUGGGCCUCCGUCCUCCUCCCGGGGGACGGGCCCGAAAGGCAGCGGCGGCACCGCGUCCGGUCCUCGAGCGUAUGGGGCUUCGUCACCCGCUCUUGUAGGCCCGGCCGGCGCUUGCCGACACAUCAAUCUUUUUUCCAGGUUGACCUCGGAUCAGGUAGGGAUACCCGCUGAACUUAAGCAUAUCAAUAAGCGGAGGA